UGGCGAACGGGUGAGUAACACGUGAGUAACCUGCCCUUAACUCUGGGAUAAGCCUGGGAAACUGGGUCUAAUACCGGAUAUGACUCCUCAUCGCAUGGUGGGGGGUGGAAAGCUUUAUUGUGGUUUUGGAUGGACUCGCGGCCUAUCAGCUUGUUGGUGAGGUAAUGGCUUACCAAGGCGACGACGGGUAGCCGGCCUGAGAGGGUGACCGGCCACACUGGGACUGAGACACGGCCCAGACUCCUACGGGAGGCAGCAGUGGGGAAUAUUGCACAAUGGGCGCAAGCCUGAUGCAGCGACGCCGCGUGAGGGAUGACGGCCUUCGGGUUGUAAACCUCUUUCAGUAGGGAAGAAGCGAAAGUGACGGUACCUGCAGAAGAAGCGCCGGCUAACUACGUGCCAGCAGCCGCGGUAAUACGUAGGGCGCAAGCGUUAUCCGGAAUUAUUGGGCGUAAAGAGCUCGUAGGCGGUUUGUCGCGUCUGCCGUGAAAGUCCGGGGCUCAACUCCGGAUCUGCGGUGGGUACGGGCAGACUAGAGUGAUGUAGGGGAGACUGGAAUUCCUGGUGUAGCGGUGAAAUGCGCAGAUAUCAGGAGGAACACCGAUGGCGAAGGCAGGUCUCUGGGCAUUAACUGACGCUGAGGAGCGAAAGCAUGGGGAGCGAACAGGAUUAGAUACCCUGGUAGUCCAUGCCGUAAACGUUGGGCACUAGGUGUGGGGGACAUUCCACGUUUUCCGCGCCGUAGCUAACGCAUUAAGUGCCCCGCC
This 767-nucleotide ribosomal RNA is filed under the name Arthrobacter sp. LMR270. RNAcentral describes it as "bacterial SSU rRNA". It matches the Rfam family "Bacterial small subunit ribosomal RNA", at positions 96 to 873 of the family's 1533-position model. The record is from RNAcentral. Lineage: Bacteria; Bacillati; Actinomycetota; Actinomycetes; Micrococcales; Micrococcaceae.